UCCAUUGACAAUAGCCAAUUGUAGUCUCAUUAACAACCCAUGAGGGCAACAAUUCUUCAUCUGGGAAGUUUAUAUUUGCUUUGAGGUGCAAAAGAGCAACCUUCUCUUCCUUCCAACACCCUAAACAAUACCAUCCAUUUAGUAAUGAAAGCAACAUCAUCACCAGCAUUGCCAAUAACUUAAUUCCCAUCUUUCUUAAAUACUAAACCACGAAUUCUUACUUUUCUAGAUAAACAAGGUUGUAAACUCUCCAAUUUAUAGCAUUAAGUGGAUUUACCGUGUUAGGUGGUUCAUUUUUAAUUAUAGACUUUUCCUCGAAGUUGUAAAAUUCUU
This 333-nucleotide long non-coding RNA is filed under the name Olea europaea (common olive). RNAcentral describes it as "long non-coding RNA (OEUR_LNC005265)". The record is from RNAcentral. Lineage: Eukaryota; Viridiplantae; Streptophyta; Magnoliopsida; Lamiales; Oleaceae.